AACCCCGGGAAACCGGGGCUAAUACCGGAUAAUACUUUUCAUCACCUGAUGGAAAGUUGAAAGGUGGAAUCUUGCUACCACUUACAGAUGGGCCCGCGGCGCAUUAGCUAGUUGGUGAGGUAACGGCUCACCAAGGCAACGAUGCGUAGCCGACCUGAGAGGGUGAUCGGCCACACUGGGACUGAGACACGGCCCAGACUCCUACGGGAGGCAGCAGUAGGGAAUCUUCCGCAAUGGACGAAAGUCUGACGGAGCAACGCCGCGUGAGUGAUGAAGGUUUUCGGAUCGUAAAGCUCUGUUGAAAGGGAAGAACAAGUGCCGUUCGAAUAGGGUGGCACCUUGACGGUACCUAACCAGAAAGCCCCGGCUAACUACGUGCCAGCAGCCGCGGUAAUACGUAGGGGGCAAGCGUUGUCCGGAAUUAUUGGGCGUAAAGCGCGCGCAGGCGGUCCUUUAAGUCUGAUGUGAAAGCCCACGGCUUAACCGUGGAGGGUCAUUGGAAACUGGAGGACUUGAGUACAGAAGAGGAGAGUGGAAUU
Molecule: ribosomal RNA, 539 nt
Filed under: Virgibacillus halodenitrificans
Lineage: Bacteria; Bacillati; Bacillota; Bacilli; Caryophanales; Bacillaceae
Description: bacterial SSU rRNA
Rfam family: Bacterial small subunit ribosomal RNA
Source: RNAcentral